CCUACGGGAGGCUGCAGUGGGGAAUAUUGGGCAAUGGGCGCAAGCCUGACCCAGCAACGCCGCGUGAAGGAAGAAGGUUUUCGGGUUGUAAACUUCUUUUCGCAGGGACGAAGAAAGUGACGGUACCUGAGGAAUAAGCCACGGCUAACUACGUGCCAGCAGCCGCGGUAAUACGUAGGUGGCAAGCGUUAUCCGGAUUUACUGGGUGUAAAGGGCGUGUAGGCGGGACUGCAAGUCAGAUGUGAAAACCACGGGCUCAACCUGUGGCCUGCAUUUGAAACUGUAGUUCUUGAGUACUGGAGAGGCAGACGGAAUGCCUGGUGUAGCGGUGAAAUGCGUAGAUAUUAGGAGGAACACCAGUGGCGAAGGCGGUAUGCUGGACAGCAACUGACGCUGAGGCGCGAAAGCGUGGGGAGCAAACAGGAUUAGAUACCCUUGUAGUC
This 443-nucleotide ribosomal RNA is filed under the name uncultured bacterium. Its description in RNAcentral is "partial 16S ribosomal RNA". It matches the Rfam family "Bacterial small subunit ribosomal RNA", at positions 338 to 795 of the family's 1533-position model. The record is from RNAcentral.